CACCAUGAGUGCUACAAUUUAUUUACUAUAUACUAAAGGAGAGAGACUGUUCAUGGGCACUGUUCCUAAGGGACCGAAAUGGAAUGACGCUUUUGCCCUCAUUUUCUGCCACUGAGCCAUCAGUUUCUUCUUUCUUCUACGGCCAUGGGAUUCUUCUCUCCUGUUGGUUUCUCUCUUCCUCCCUUCUGCCCUGGUUUAUUAAGCUAUCGCCAUCACUCAGUACGACAUCGAAGAAGUACAGCAACACUUGCAACCACACAUUUUCGCAGUAGAAGAUAGUUUCUCUGUGUGUGACUUGCUCUUAGGAGAUGCUUCUGUAUCAACACCCAAUUUCCUUUUCUCAUCAGAGAGAUUUGAUCAAACAACAAAGCUACUUACUUUUGGGGUGACUUGCUCUUAGGAGAUGCUUCUGUAUCCACACCCAAUUUCGUUUUCUCAUCAGAGAGAUUUGAUCAAACAACAAAGCUACUUAGUUUUGGGGUGACUUGCUCUUAGGAGAUGCUUCUGUAUCAACACCUAAUUUCCUUUUCUCAUCAGAGACAUUUGAUCAAACAACAAAGCUACUUAGUUUUGGGGUGAAUUCAGAAAGAUAUUCAAGGGAGGAUUGGCAAAGAACAAGCGGUUCUUUGCUUUGCUCAGCUCACUGG
Rosa chinensis is the source of this 647-nucleotide long non-coding RNA. RefSeq lists it as uncharacterized. The transcript is spliced from 3 exons. Lineage: Eukaryota; Viridiplantae; Streptophyta; Magnoliopsida; Rosales; Rosaceae. The record is from RefSeq and is a predicted model, not a curated record.